This 250-nucleotide ribosomal RNA is filed under the name uncultured bacterium. RNAcentral's name for it is "partial 16S ribosomal RNA". It matches the Rfam family "Bacterial small subunit ribosomal RNA", at positions 83 to 334 of the family's 1533-position model. The record is from RNAcentral.
AAGAGAUGGCAACCGGCGCACGGGUGAGUAACACGUAUCCAACCUGCCGAUAACUCCGGAAUAGCCUUUCGAAAGAAAGAUUAAUACCGGAUGGCAUACGAAUAUCGCAUGAUAUUUUUAUUAAAGAAUUUCGGUUAUCGAUGGGGAUGCGUUCCAUUAGUUUGUUGGCGGGGUAACGGCCCACCAAGACUACGAUGGAUAGGGGUUCUGAGAGGAAGGUCCCCCACAUUGGAACUGAGACACGGUCCAA